Molecule: non-coding RNA, 1027 nt
Organism: Phoenix dactylifera (date palm)
Lineage: Eukaryota; Viridiplantae; Streptophyta; Magnoliopsida; Arecales; Arecaceae
Source: RefSeq, a predicted model, not a curated record
AUAUGAAUCAGACUCCAGUAGGAGUUGUCAUGGGUCUUGCUUGGACUGCAAUGGGUGGUUCAACAUUGUAUGUUGAGACCGCCCUAGUGGAGCAAGGAGAAGGGAAAGGUGCACUUCUAUUGACGGGUCAGCUCGGAGACGUCAUGAAGGAGAGUGCGCAAAUAGCUCAUACCGUAGCCAGAGCAAUAUUGCUUCAGAAAGAACCAGACAAUCCAUUUUUUGCAGACUCCAAGCUCCAUUUGCAUGUGCCGGCUGGUGCUACCCCCCAAGGAUGGACCAAGUGCAGGGUGCACCAUGAUAACCUCAAUGUUUGUCUCUUGCCAUGAAAAAGCAUGUUAAAAAGAACUUGCAAUGACUGGUGAAGUAACAUUGACAGGACGGAUUCUCCCAAUUGGUGGGGUAAAGGAGAAGAUAAUUGCUGCAAGAAGAAGUGAGGUGAAGACUAUCAUAUUCCCAUCAGCUAACAGAAGAGAUUUUGAUGAGCUUGCUGCCAAUGUGAAGGAAGGCCUUGAAGUUCACUUCGUAGAUGAUUAUAACCAAAUAUUUGAGCUGGCUUUUGGAAGCAACUCUAAGCCACAAAUCUAAGUCUCUGAUCCACCUGUAUUGGGUCUUCACAUGUUAUAGUUUUCUUGACGACUGCAAGAAAUUCCAUGGUAGUUCUUCAUGAUGCAGCCACCAUGGACCAAUUCCAAAGAGAGUUAGCCUUUUAUUGAGGUCAUGGACAAUUCCUAACGGGCUUCCUAGAGCAUCCAUGAUUUGAAUGCUUGCAUGUACUGAUGCCUGAAGAUUGUUUAUUAAUUAUGUCUUACAACCAUUGCGAAAAAAACCAUAGCACGGCUGUAUUUUUUGUGAUCUUUUCUGGAGGUGGAUGGUGGUCAAGAUAUAAAUACAUUAUUUCGGCAUUUUUGUUUUCAUCAAUACUCAAAUGUAAACUACUCUCAAAACCUAAAUUUUUUAUUCAUUCAAAUGUAUGAUGAUAGCUGAUUAUUAAUUUGAUCAUGUUUGCUGGAUUGGUUUCAACUUUCAA